This 4541-nucleotide long non-coding RNA is filed under the name Bemisia tabaci. Its description in RNAcentral is "lncRNA ENSSSA1NGG005269". Lineage: Eukaryota; Metazoa; Arthropoda; Insecta; Hemiptera; Aleyrodidae. The record is from RNAcentral.
AUGAUAUCCGUUGUCAGUAAGCAGACUGAUACUUCUAAUGUAAAGUGGUCUGCAGUUCAGAUAGCAAGGUUCCUAAGACUUCUCAAAAAGUAUCAAAUCUUGUGGAGGCUCACCGACAAAGAUAGGAAAAGCAAACGCAACCGAGAUGCUGCAUUCCACUCUCUCAUAGUAGAAGCACGUCAACAUGUCGGUCCAAAAGAUUUAGACAUGCUCACGAUGAAGAGCAAAAUGAAAAACCUCAAAACUGUUUAUACCAGGGAACGAGGAAAAGUCUUGAACGCUGAAGCAGUAGGUGAAAAAUAUGUGCCUGGUUUGAGAUGGUAUUCAGUAGCUGAUUCGUUUCUCAGAUACUGCAACAAAGACGGAGACAUAAAAUUAGAACCUGUUAAUCUGCUAGAAAUUAUAGAAGAUGAAUCUCACAUCGGCUCUACAUCUGACACUGAAAGUGACUGUGAAGUUGCAGCUUCAAAUGACAGGCAACCCAUGUUAGACGAGAAAUCUACUUCCUUAAGUUUUGACAUUGACCAAAGUGAUGUAGCAGCCCCUGCAAAAACGCAGCCAUAAUCUGAAGGACUGAGUCCAGCCCUGUGUUAAUUGAUUUCAUUCUUGGUACAUUAAAGUACCUCUGGAAUGGUGGCAUCUGAAGUAUAGGUAGGAGAGAAGAUGCACAUUAAAUUAUUAGUUUGGGGUACUAGGUACAAUCAAUCGAACCUUGUUCUCAAUUAAUUUUUUUUACUUUCAGGAUUUUAAAUGUAACAGUACCUAAGCAAGAAAUAUUUCCCGAGUCUGACAAAACAUUAAAUUUAGAUGCUGAAUUCGUUUCAAACUAAGGCAGAUCUGAAUUCUAAAAUUUCAUUAUAGCUUCUUGUUUAUUCCAUUGUGGCACUUUUAAGAUUUUUCUCCAGGAAUAGGGUUGAAGAAGUUAAUCAUGAAUUGUUUUUCGACUUCUGAAACGACUUUAAAAUGCUGAAGUGAAAGACAUUCAUCAAGUGUAAAAAUCAAAACAAGACUAGUUUCAUAGUUUUUCAGCUCUCGAUAAAUUAAUUAAGUGUUCAAUGUGUCCUUUAAAAUUAUAUAGUUAAAAUAUAAGCCCAACCAUCAAAUUAAUAUUCAUCCUGAUAACAAUGUAAUUCAAUCUUUAAUAAUCAAUUUCUCUCUUCAAGGACUAAUUGCUGAUUAUGAUUUCCAUGUUCAUAUUGUAAAGGUGAAAAAGAUUGUCUAACUUUUCAGCCAAGAAUGUUGAAUCUUUUAGCAUUUUUGCUGUGUAGUCAGUAGUGGUGAUAUCUAAUCCUUCAGUGCAAAAGUUUUUUUGUGCAGUAACAAAUUUUAAAUUAUCUAAAUUAUUCUCCUGUAUAUAAUCCUUAUUUGUUUUCCUAUUUGUUUUUGUCAUUAUAUUUUUAGUCUUUAUUGUUGAAAAUUGGGUACCAACUGAAAAUUUCUUGGGCUAUUAUUAAAGACUUGUUUUGAUAUACUAAUUUUUCCUUAAUGCUGAUCAUUUCGUCUUUCUUACAGCCUAAUGAACUUCCUGUUCUUCCUCACCAGUUAAUACUGUUGGAGUAAUCGAAAAGUAUCAUCCCCCCAAGCAACAUGAUUUUCAAUCCUCCGUCUUCUUGCAACCAAUCAUAAACUUAAUUCCUGUAAGUACCUACACUUAAACAGCGUUUUGAAAUUCAGUGGAGCUAGACCUCAGAAUCUAAUUUGAUUAACAUUGCCAAAGAAAAUCUCAUCAAGUUGAAAAAUAGAAAUAAAAAUGGUCUGAAGGGAAAUGUAGGUAUGCUCCUGCACCCAAUCAACAACUACGUUUUUUCCCUUUUUCAUGAGCAUGGUCAUAGGUGGGUCAGGAGGCCUCGAAAUAUUCAACUGUAUAUUUAACUGUAAUUAACUGUGUAGGUAUUUGACUGUAUAUAUAGAGCUGCUUUAAUGGCCUGGUUACACGCUCAAAUUUUCGUCAAAUUCCGAUCAAAUUGAUGACCAAGUUGGCGGUCGAGAGUUAUCUAGAUUGAUGAGUAAAAUUAAUUAAAACAGCGUGUUGAUUAAAAUAAGCAUGAAAUAAGCACAGUUGUGUGGAAAUCAGAUGAAGGAUGAGCCCCACAGCUCCAUAAUCUACCAUCAAAUUUUUGCAGGCCGCAGAAAUUUGAUGGUAGAUGGUGCGCACCAGUCACCAUUUGAUCGGAAUUUGAUGAGAAUUUGAGCGUGUAACCAGCAUAUAAACCAUUAGAGCUCCAAAUUCAAAUUUCUCAGUUCAGUGAAGGAACGGAUUUGGUGUCAUAGGUACCUAUAGGUAUCCAUCUUAGUCCCCCCCCCCUUCCAUCAUAAUUCAAGGUUGCUAAAUUGACGUAGAGGCCUAGGAAAAAAAUGUAUUCUUGGGUAAUAACUGACCCUCAGGAAUCUGAAUUUGACGACCAUAGGCGUACCUACGUAGGUCAUUUUGCUAGGGGGGGCCUCCCUUGAGAAAUUUUUAAAAUUUAAAUCUACUUGGAAGCAUUUUGCGGCUACCGUAAUGGGGAUUUACCAUCACUUAUUUUCUGUUUAAAUUAAACUUUUUCGAAAACCGAUUAUAUAGUUAGAUGACUUACUUUCUUAGUUUUUGGAGAAAAAUUACGCUUUUUUACUUUCAGCAAAGAAUACUUUCGAAUUGUUGCAUUUAAAAAAUCUGGAAAAUUUUGAAGUUUUGACUCUGUUAGGACUCACUAUGAAGCUUCCACGAUGAAAAUUUUAGAAAGAAAAUACUAUUUUCAAUUCUUUGUACGCCCAUUUUGACGGUCCCCAAACAUUUGCUGAUGUGACCCCCGGGGGGGGGGGGGGGGAGGGUGCCGUACAUAAUUUAGGUACCCAUUAACGCGUUAAUUUCAGGGACAAGUUAAUUUUCCAAAUUUAGAACCCCCUGCAUAACGUCAGCAAAUGUUUCGAAGGCUUUGGGACCGUUCGAAUGCCUAAUGAUUGAGCACUGUGGGAAAAAUUUUUCCGGAUCCUUUAUUUAUGUACAUCGACUCAGCGGCAUCGAAUUUUGGGGAGAUGGCUCUGUCUCCCACCUGCAGGAGUCAAUAUUUCGAACAAGAAUGGGCCAAGCUCGGAUUUCUUGAUAAAAAUUCGGGGCAAAAUUUUCCGUAGCCGGUAGUUUCUGAAUUUGAUUGAAUAAUUUCAAAGUUUUGCCAGACCCCCCCCCCCCCCCAUUUACAGUUACGACCCCUUUCAUUAACCCAGAGGAUCGCAACUGACAAGUCGACGUCGUAAUGACAAGUUUUAGAUACUUUAAGUACUUAUGUGUUCUAAGAUAGUCUAGGUAUUAUGCGUCGCUGUUUCAAAUUUUUCAUUCUUUAAAUGGACUUAUCUUUGCCAAACGGAACUCCUCAUGUGCAUUGUGACGUGAGCCCUGUUGUGCAUAUAUUCUUACGGGUCUCAAGGCUCAUGUCUUGAUGCACAUAGUUCCGUCUGGCAGAAUUACGUCCAAAUGACGAUCAAUAACGGAUUUAUCCACGCAAGAUUUUAUACUGCGGCACAAAUUCUCUGUUGGCUGAAAUCAACAGAAAUAGACGGCGAAAAAUCGAAAUUCCGAAUGUGCGAUAAUUUCAUGCCCACCGUGCGGCGGGUAGCUGGCUGUAAUCGUGGUCCGAUCUCCGAUCUGCGAAGUGUGAACAUGACUCGGUGUUCAGACUUGAAUCUGCGUCUAGCCACUUGCUUUGCCCUCUCUUUCAUUCGCGCGCCGCAGACGUGAGAGGACGGACGCUCCGACGCCGACAGGUCCAAACCUGUCACGCGUCAAUCAGCCAAUGAGAGCAGAGAGACGCCAUUGAUGGAUCACGGGACCUGAGAGCUGAGGAAGUGCGGAACGCGAACGAUUAUGUAAUUUCGAGCCGGCCGUCUUCAAAGUAACGUCACUUGCACUUCUCCCGCGUGAGAUCGGGUCUGAUCAUUCAUCCUAAGUGAAAGUAAUUAUUCUUUUCGAACAAUCUGUGCUCAUUAUUGUGUCUCGCCUAAACGUCUCGGUGUAAUUGAGAACAGCCGUGUGUAGUGCGUAAGUACGUUACCUAGAAUUUCGCCCGCAGGGCACCUGUUGCUUCGAGGGCCUGUUGCCUGUUGUGAGGGGUUGACUAGUCGACUUUACUCGUCCUGCCUGUGAGUGAUCUGAACGUACUUGAUACUUUAGAGAUUUUCGUCGUUUCAUUUGAAGUGUGAAUCAUCGGUUAUCGGCUAAUUGUCGUGUCUCGUGCAAAUUCCUCGGUGCAUUCGAGAACAGUCGGAAUUUCGCCAGCGGCGAAUGCAAGGGUCCGCCAUCUUUGUGAACUUCCUGCGUGUCUCGCCUCGUGGUUGUAGGUUUUCGGGUUUGUUAGUGUGAACUUUUUCAUGCGCAUUGUUUGAUGAACUAAUCGCCAUCGGUAUGUGUCAAUGUCGACUCUUUUCAUGAAUGAUCAGCAUUCCGUCUUUCGUGUAUUUGCGGCUUCUUCUCAACUUCCGAAGAUUGAAUCGUUGGAGCGUUCUCAUCGCUGUGAGAGGAUAUCCGAUGUCUGGUUGGAACUUUUCCUUAUUGCUGCUGGAUUCAG